ACGCACGCUGGCGGCGUGCUUAACACAUGCAAGUCGAACGGUAAGGCCCCUUCGGGGGUCCCCGAGUGGCGAACGGGUGAGUAACACGUGAGCAACCUGCCCUUGACUCUGGAAUAACAGUUGGAAACAGCUGCUAAUACUGGAUAUUCAUCGUCUCCUUCCUGGGGGGUGGUGGAAAGCUCCGGCGGUCAGGGAUGGGCUCGCGGCCUAUCAGCUUGUUGGUGAGGUAAUGGCUCACCAAGGCUUCGACGGGUAGCCGGCCUGAGAGGGCGACCGGCCACACUGGGACUGAGAUACGGCCCAGACUCCUACGGGAGGCAGCAGUGGGGAAUAUUGCACAAUGGGCGCAAGCCUGAUGCAGCAACGCCGCGUGCGGGAUGACGGCCUUCGGGUUGUAAACCGCUUUCAGUAGGGACGAAGGGUGACUGACGGUACCUACAGAAGAAGGACCGGCUAACUACGUG
This 464-nucleotide ribosomal RNA is filed under the name uncultured bacterium. RNAcentral's name for it is "partial 16S ribosomal RNA". It matches the Rfam family "Bacterial small subunit ribosomal RNA", at positions 29 to 507 of the family's 1533-position model. The record is from RNAcentral.